AGUGAACGCUGGCGGUAGGCCACACAUGCACGUCGCACGGCAGCACAGUAAGAGCUUGCUCUUACGGGUGGCGAGUGGCGGACGGGUGAGGAAUACAUCGGAAUCUACUUUUUCGUGGGGGAUAACGUAGGGAAACUUACGCUAAUACCGCAUACGACCUACGGGUGAAAGCAGGGGAUCUUCGGACCUUGCGCGAUUGAAUGAGCCGAUGUCGGAUUAGCUAGUUGGCGGGGUAAAGGCCCACCAAGGCGACGAUCCGUAGCUGGUCUGAGAGGAUGAUCAGCCACACUGGAACUGAGACACGGUCCAGACUCCUACGGGAGGCAGCAGUGGGGAAUAUUGGACAAUGGGCGCAAGCCUGAUCCAGCCAUACCGCGUGGGUGAAGAAGGCCUUCGGGUUGUAAAGCCCUUUUGUUGGGAAAGAAAAGCAGCAGGUUAAUACCCCGCUGUUCUGACGGUACCCAAAGAAUAAGCACCGGCUAACUUCGUG
RNAcentral lists this ribosomal RNA (490 nucleotides) under uncultured bacterium. Its description in RNAcentral is "partial 16S ribosomal RNA". It matches the Rfam family "Bacterial small subunit ribosomal RNA", at positions 29 to 507 of the family's 1533-position model. The record is from RNAcentral.